Molecule: ribosomal RNA, 673 nt
Filed under: uncultured Vibrionaceae bacterium
Lineage: Bacteria; Pseudomonadati; Pseudomonadota; Gammaproteobacteria; Vibrionales; Vibrionaceae
Description: bacterial SSU rRNA
Rfam family: Bacterial small subunit ribosomal RNA
Source: RNAcentral
UAGAGUUUGAUCAUGGCUCAGAUUGGACGCUGGCGGCAGGCUUAACACAUGCAAGUCGAGCGGUAACAGGAAUAGCUUGCUAUUUGCUGACGAGCGGCGGACGGGUGAGUAAUGCUUGGGAAUAUGCCUUAUGGUGGGGGACAACAGUUGGAAACGACUGCUAAUACCGCAUAAUGUCUACGGACCAAAGGGGGGGAUCUUCGGACCUCUCGCCAUUUGAUUAGCCCAAGUGAGAUUAGCUAGUUGGUAAGGUAAUGGCUUACCAAGGCGACGAUCUCUAGCUGGUUUGAGAGGAUGAUCAGCCACACUGGGACUGAGACACGGCCCAGACUCCUACGGGAGGCAGCAGUGGGGAAUAUUGCACAAUGGGGGGAACCCUGAUGCAGCCAUGCCGCGUGUGUGAAGAAGGCCUUCGGGUUGUAAAGCACUUUCAGUUGUGAGGAAAGGUGUGUAGUUAAUAGCUGCGUACUGUGACGUUAACAACAGAAGAAGCACCGGCUAACUUCGUGCCAGCAGCCGCGGUAAUACGAGGGGUGCAAGCGUUAAUCGGAAUUACUGGGCGUAAAGCGUUCGUGGGCGGUUGAAUAAGCAAGAUGUGAAAGCCCAGGGCUCAACCUUGGAACUGCAUUUUGAACUGUUCGACUAGAGUACUGUAGAGGGGGGUAGAAUUUCA